Molecule: ribosomal RNA, 406 nt
Filed under: Lactiplantibacillus plantarum WJL
Lineage: Bacteria; Bacillati; Bacillota; Bacilli; Lactobacillales; Lactobacillaceae
Description: SSU rRNA
Rfam family: Bacterial small subunit ribosomal RNA
Source: RNAcentral
AUUAAUUUGAGAGUUUGAUCCUGGCUCAGGACGAACGCUGGCGGCGUGCCUAAUACAUGCAAGUCGAACGAACUCUGGUAUUGAUUGGUGCUUGCAUCAUGAUUUACAUUUGAGUGAGUGGCGAACUGGUGAGUAACACGUGGGAAACCUGCCCAGAAGCGGGGGAUAACACCUGGAAACAGAUGCUAAUACCGCAUAACAACUUGGACCGCAUGGUCCAAGUUUGAAAGAUGGCUUCGGCUAUCACUUUUGGAUGGUCCCGCGGCGUAUUAGCUAGAUGGUGGGGUAACGGCUCACCAUGGCAAUGAUACGUAGCCGACCUGAGAGGGUAAUCGGCCACAUUGGGACUGAGACACGGCCCAAACUCCUACGGGAGGCAGCAGUAGGGAAUCUUCCACAAUGGACG